GCGAGAGUGGCGGAAUUGGUAGACGCGCUGGGUUCAGGGUCCAGUGGCCUUCUGGCUGUGGGGGUUCGAGUCCCCCCUCUCGCACCA
This 87-nucleotide transfer RNA is filed under the name Deltaproteobacteria bacterium. RNAcentral's name for it is "tRNA-Leu". It matches the Rfam family "tRNA". From Rfam's summary of the family: Transfer RNA (tRNA) molecules are approximately 80 nucleotides in length. Lineage: Bacteria; Pseudomonadati; Myxococcota; Myxococcia. The record is from RNAcentral.